Rattus norvegicus (Norway rat) is the source of this 6477-nucleotide non-coding RNA. NCBI's taxonomy places the organism in Eukaryota, Metazoa, Chordata, Mammalia, Rodentia, Muridae. The record is from RefSeq and is a predicted model, not a curated record.
CCGUGUAACUUGCUGGAUCUUGUGCGAGCCUUUUGAGGAGGAAGCACAGAGCUGGAAUCCCCGCUGCUCUUCCCUCUUCCCUCUCGGUUGACUGGCCUUUCCUUUCCUUCUUCUGCCGUCUGUCGGCAGGUCCGGGCUGCCGAUCUGAAAGCCUUUAUAUUAUCAUUGUACAGCAUCUCGGCUAUGAAAUUCCCCUGAGCACCACUUUAAAUGUGUUUGUAAGUUUUGAUAAGCUGUGCCUCUGUUUGCAUCAAAGCAUUUUCAGUUGUUCUUUGGACCCUCUGCCUGUGUUUCUGAGUCCAAAUUCUCUAUUUCAUUCUUUUUAUAAAAAAAAAAAGAUUUACUUGUUUAUUUAUUAUACACUGUAGCUGUCUUCAGACACACCAGAAUAGGGCAUCUGAUUACAGAUGGUUGUGAGCCACCAUGUGGUUGCUGGGAUUUGAACUCAGGACCUCUGGAAGAGCAGUCAGUCACCACUGAGCCAUCGCUCCAGCCCUCUAGUCCAUUCUUUUCAAUAGUUUGUAUGUCAGGUGAUUUGAAUAGGAAUGGCUUUCAAUGUAUUUAGAUGCUUGGAGGAAGUGUGUCACUGAGGGUCGGGUUUAGAGUUUCAAAUGCUCAAACCAGGCCCAGUAUCUCUCUCUUCCUGUUGAAGUUUGAGAAGCUUUGGAGUCUGUCCACACCCUUAGCUCCCGCAUGGGUGCAACCCUGACCAUGCAUUCCUGUGGCCUUCCCUCGCUACUGCGUUCCGAGAAAGUUCUUCUUAGUCGGCUCCCCACUGCUUCUUUUUACUAAACUUUAUGCUGCCUGGCCACUUUUUCUCCUCUCAGAGCUUUCCCUGGGCCUCAUCCUUGCUGCUCAUCAGGCCCUCUACGCUUUCAAAUGACUUUUCUCCCUGUUUCCAAUGAAGUUAAUCCCUAGAGUAAAUGGUUGAGCUCUCUGUCCAACUGGAUAAUUUUGUCAAGGCUUCCUUUCCCCGGAGUGACAAAUGUUCUUUUUCUAGUGCGUGUGCUAGAGUGAAAACGACUUGUUCUCCUCAGCAUGGGAACUCGCCUUCUCAGUGAGAGAGCUGCUGCGGGUGGAAGCAAUAGAGACCCAUCUAUUCUCAACCUGUAUCAUCUGAGGGAGGUGGGCGGGCAGAGAGGGGCCCUUCUCCCCAAGAUGCAUUGCUGGAAGAGAGCUUCCUAAGACAGGACCAGGCUGGGAGCUGGCGAGGUAAGAGGGCCAAGGGAAGGUAACACUUCAUAACACAGAGCCAGAGAGGCAGUAGAUGAGGCAGGAUAUAGCUCACAGCCCACACUUUUAAGAUUUCAUAGACUUUCUUGAGUGACCGCUCCUGUUUCCUGUAGGUCCUUUUAAAUUUUUCUAGGUUUUUUUUUUUUUUACUGCCCCCUCCCAUUUUCCCCUCCUUAGCUGUGAGUGUCUGAAAAGCCUGCUAAGCUCCCUUCUCAUCCCAGAAGUCCUGGCUCUGCCUGCAUACUUUGAUCUUGAGAGUUAAUUGGGUUGAUGAGUGAUGGCUCCCUCCGCUGGGGAAGACCAAAAGCUAAGACAGUCAUUAAGAGCAGAGAGGAAGAAGUAAUGACUGGUGGGUGUCACCUAAAACCAGCAGUUUCUUAAUAAAAAUUCUGGUUGCCUCUUAAAAUUCAAAGUGGCACCAUGCGCUCCCUCGCUUCUACCUGCUACCGAUCUGGCCUGGCAUUGCGUUCAUACAAAGGUGUAAUAUAGUGUUGAAGUCAGCAGGAAAGACAUUGGACAAAUGAGGACAUGGGUCCCAAGAGGACAGGACGGCAUGCUAUUCCGGCUUUCCAAUUGUUCUGAAUGAAAUGAGAAAUAAGAACCAAACAACAGAUGAUGUCUUUCAAUCGGUCUUUCCAAGGCAGCCAUGGCUUAGGGUAGCACACUUUACUCCUUACUCAGCCAUGUCCACCCAGGUUUACGUCCCCCGAAGAAUAUGCUUUCUUUCCUGAGUCACAGAGUCUCAGACAAAGAGAUCAGUUAGAACAUUCUAGCACAUCAGCAAAAAUUGUGAAUUCCAAUCCAAAUGCAAUUUGAAGUUUAAAGACACUUGAAAACGUUUGAAAAUUAAAAAAAAAAAAAUUCUACCUUAAAGUGGUUACUAUAUCAGUUUUGUUUUUAAAAAUGUUUGGGAAGUACUUCUUUGAGGCUGAUGAAACCACAGUAUUUAAUGAUCUGUGCUAUACUUGUUCUGCUGACAUGGUUGUGCCUGAGUCUCCCAAGCUGUGAAUUAAUUUUUCUAAAAAUCGAUAUAAAUCUAACAGAGCACUUCGAAUUUCCGUCCACAGAACUUCCAGGUUUUUUUUUUCUAUAACCUAAGUGUGUAGCAUGUAGAUAUGACUACAGUCUGAAGACGGUUUUGAUAAUUUUGUCCAUUCCAUGUCCCUACGUGUCUCAGCCAUAGGUGACUGGGCAGCUGUCUCAUAAUGCUUAUAGCAACCUGCCAGAUGUUUACAGGAACGUUCUAGAAAACUAUAGAAUGCUAAAAUGUAAUCUCUGGGGAAACCGAGGUGAGGAAAAUAUUCACUGUUUUUUUCCCCUAGAGUUCAGUAUCAGGAACUAGUUUUAGAUAGAAAAGUAAACUCCGGUUCUUGUCUGGAGAGGUGGCCCAGUGUCUAAGAGAGGGCACUACAUUGCCCAGGACCCACAUCAAGAUAGCUCAUAACUAUGCAUUGUAACUCCAGUUCCAGGCCACCUAAUGCCUUCAUCUGGCCUCACCUCAUUAAAAUUAGGAAGCAGACAGGAAGGGGCUUCCAGGAAGACCCUCAAGGACUCAGUUCCUCCAUUUAGACUCUGCUUCCUAACAGCCAGUUGGUCUGUGAAUCCCUCAGUGGAUUGAUCACUGUACUCGGUUGAGACUCCUGUGAUUGAGUCACUGCUCAAUAGUGCCACCCUCUGGGGCUUGUUUCUUUAACGCAUGAGCCUUGGGGACUGUAGGAACUUCACGCCCAAAACCAACAGAGACAGAAGCUGUGUGGUGUAAUCUCUGAAGAGACCGAUUCACUUGCCCAAGUUCAAGAAGGGAGUGAUGUAGUCUAAAAACUUCAGGAAGCAUUCGUCUCUCGAAAAUCCAAAGGAAAGACUGUACUCCCCUGAGAGGAACUGGGGAGAGACUAGGCCAUGGACUCCGGAACAGGGCCAGAGCUGACAGGGUUUCCCAUCACAAGGAAGGGGCCUGCAGCGGAGGGAGCUAGGCAUCAGCGUCGGCAUCAGUAUGCUAUGAGUCUUCCAGGAGUGGACCCCAGCAGUGCUCCGGAUGGCAUCACGAGGGAUGAACCACGGUCAGGUUCGACCUUCCAUAGCGAUGGAAUGGGUCCUCAUUAGGUAUGUGUUUAGUGGCCCCAAGGCCAGGGUCACCCACUUUCCACAUGCUUCCAAGGCCCAGGAGCCACCCUAGCCAUUAUAUCUCCUGCCACGGGGAGAAAAGUAGAGUGGUCAUGUCCAUCAGACAACAGACCUUUCAGAAGCCUCUCGGAAAUCAUUUCUCAUGUCUCACUCACCAGAACUUGGUCGUGCCGGAAAGUGGCUUAGGGAGAAGGAACCAGGAAAGGUGUUGAGUUGGGCGUAACACCGGUACACCACCUGAUGCUACCACUGAGCCCUGAAGAAGGCUAGUGGGUGUCUCCAGCCCACAGAGAUGCUACACUGAACAGCUAAACCUGUCUUCAUAUGCUAUGCUUUAACAGGAUCUCUGGACGUGCAGCGUGGAAGUCUCUAGAAAGCUUCCUCUAGGUCAUCUUGGUACAGCAUACCACACAAGUUAGAGAGUUUACACUUCCCCUCUCAUGAGUGUAUUUAUAUUUUCCAGGAAGAGCUAAAACUAUGGACUUGGAAGGAAAGAGACUCAAGUUGUUUGCCCACUGUGCCAGUACAUUUAUUUUGUGUGUGCUUGUGUGUGCGUGCGCGCGCACGUGCGCACGUGCACGUGUGCACGCGUGCGUGUGUGUUUGAGUGCAGGUGCCUGAAGAGGCAAGAAGAGUGUGUCAGAUCCCCUCGAUCGCAGUUACAGCUGUUUAUGGGUGGCUGUGAGCUGCUCAGCAUUGCUUGGCAACCAAACCCAGGUCUUCUGCAAAGCCAGUCACCACUCUAAUCAACUGUGCUAUCUCGCUAGCCCCACAUUUUGUUUUUAAAAGAACUCUUUAAAUGGAGUUUAUUUGGGCCGGAUAUGAAUGGCCCUGACCCAGGAAUGUGGAUUUACACUCCCCUGAGUGAUGUGUUCCUUCCCCAGGACCCUGUGUACAAGGUGGGUGCUAGUUUAAGCACUUAGGUUGGUCUGUCCGUUCCUGCUCUACUCCUCCCCCUUGUGGCAGCCACAGUUGUGGCAGGUGUUUGGGGGAGUGUCUUGGGUGGUCCUGAUGAGGCUGAACAAUGAAGGUGAUCUCAUUCUCUUGGCAGUCACUGGUGUGAAAACAGGCUGUGAGCUGGCUCACUGAGAUUCAAAGGGAAGGUUGCUGGGGCUUCUGGGAAAUUCUCGUCUUUGGUUAGAGAGAAACCCUGGGAGUGACUCGUUUCUACCUUCAGCAGAUGUGAACAAGAAAGUCAGCAAUGCUGAUUGUUUCCCACUGCCAUCCUGUGACCCUGAAGGGUGACUCUGUAAGGAAGCUGACUCUCUGGGCUGCAGCCUACAGUCAGAAUGCGAUCCUAGAAAACAUUGCCAGGACGCUAGAUGAACUGCCCCAAGUCUACAAAUGUGCAAAUGCCCAGAUAUACCAGCCCCUGCUUCACUACUGCAUGUAUGUAGUGUACCAUGUGUGUGCUUGGUACCCACAAGAAGGCCAAAGAGCUUUGGAUCCCCUGAAUCUGGAACUAUGAAGGGCUGUGAGCCCAUAUGUAUGCUGAGAACUAACAGAACCCAGGCCCUCUGCAAGAGCAGCAAGUGAACUUAUCCGAUAAACCAUCCUGCAGGCGGUAUUGGUGUUUCUGCUACACUGAAAACAUCCUAGCUGCCCCAGCCAGGUGCACUGCCCUUUCAAGAAAGCAGGAGGACGGAGGAGACAUGCUGUGCCUGGGACACAGACUGUUGCCUCCAUACCCUGGAAGAGCUAAUUCGUGGAUUUCCAGAUUGUAAGAAGAGCUCAGACACAUGGCAGUUAUUCCGAAGCUGGCUUUUGGGCUUGUCACACUUCCUGCGAGUUUGGGGCUGGGCUCUUUCCUGGGUAGCAGUGUCUUCUGGAAGCUCAGAAGACUUCACAAUCAUGCUAAGUGUCAAAGCACACUUAUCACCAAGGUCAGGGCAACAUUAAGACUUUUCUUCAUGUUUAAUGCGGGCAGUGGUGAUGAUAGAGGAUAAGACAGAUAUAUAGCAGAUAGAGGCUUUUGGUUUUCUAUCAUCACACUGGGAAAAGUUCCCUACCUUAUUGUGGGUGAGGAGGCAAUGGGUCCCCAGUGGCUUUUUAUGCUGUGGAUAAAAUGCCUUAGAAAUACAGCAGCAGAGAGAACAAAUGCCAAAGACCUUUUUUAGAACAGUUUUACAAACGCAGAAUUGAAAGCAGCUGGUCAGUCCUCCACAUAUAGCAAAUAUAGCUCCUUGGAGAUCUCCAUAGCCAGUCGCCCUGCUUGCCCUUCAGAUGCCGCGGGGAAAGGGCAAUAGAGACGAACCACCCAGGACCUCUCACACUCUGUUAUAAAGUCACUGCUCUUCAGAGAACACCAGCCAACCAAAGACAAACAGCAACAAAUUGUCAAAGAAAAUCGUCCCAAGGAGUGACCAUUAAGAGACACUCCAGGGGCUGGGAGUUGACUUGGAGGGUGAGAGAACAUAAGCUUGAAGACUUGAGUUCAAAUUCUCGGUACCUGUGUAGCCAGGCAUGACUGUGCAGGCCUGGAAACUCCAAACCUGUGUGAAGGGCAGACAGGUCACCAGUGAACCUCCAGGUUCAGAGAGAGACACUGUCUCCAGAGAAUGGGCAGAGAGUAAUAGAUGAAUUGGCUUCUUUCUCUGAUUCCCUGUGUACACAUGGGCACACACACAUGGGCACAAAUACUUAUAUGCAUAACACCCUAUAUUCCUGCACCCACUGAACAACCCCUGUACAACGAUCAGACCUACUAUUAUGGCUUGAGUCUGAAGCAUUUCCCAAAGGUCAUGUGCCAAAGGCCUAGUUGCCAGUCAGAGACACUGUUGACAGGGGGCACAAUCUUUAGGAGUCGGGAUCUACUUAUAGGAACAACACUGUUGAGAAAAUGUCCUUGAAGGACUGUGCUUUCCAGUAGCCAUGAGGUGAGCAGCUCCGCGUCACCAUGUUGUUCUGCCUCACCACGGGCAAUGUAUAGAGGCCAAGUGCCCCUGCACUGACCAAAACCUCUGAACUGUGAGCUAUCCUACCACCCUGCUAAAACAAGCACCAUCAUGUUUAUCUUAUGGGAAGGCGAGGACUAGGCACAUAUACCUAAGUGUAUACCAUAAGUGAUCGAUGGAACCACUGUUAUUUUAAGCAUUCAAUAAAGUAUUAUUAAAAGUCAAAA